GAUGAACGCUGGCGGCGUGCCUAAUACAUGCAAGUCGAGCGAAUGGAUUAAGAGCUUGCUCUUAUGAAGUUAGCGGCGGACGGGUGAGUAACACGUGGGUAACCUGCCCAUAAGACUGGGAUAACUCCGGGAAACCGGGGCUAAUACCGGAUACUCCGAGCGGACCGCAUGAUCCGGUCGGGAAAGCUCCGACGGUCUGGGAUGGGCCCGCGGCCUAUCAGCUUGUUGGUGGGGGAACGGCCCACCAGGGCGACGACGGGUAGCUGGUCUGAGAGGACGGCCAGCCAAACUGGGACUGAGACACGGCCCAGACUCCUACUGGAGGCAGAAGUGGGGAAUCUUGCGCCAAUGCGCGAAAGCGUGACGCAGCGACGCCGCGUGGGGGAUGAAGGCCCUCGGGUUGUAAACCCCUUUCGCCAGGGACGAAGCGGAAGUGACGGUACCUGGAGAAGAAGUCCCGGCUAACUACGUGCCAGCCGCCGCGGUAA
This 488-nucleotide ribosomal RNA is filed under the name uncultured bacterium. RNAcentral's name for it is "partial 16S ribosomal RNA". It matches the Rfam family "Bacterial small subunit ribosomal RNA", at positions 28 to 523 of the family's 1533-position model. The record is from RNAcentral.